Molecule: ribosomal RNA, 495 nt
Filed under: uncultured bacterium
Lineage: Bacteria
Description: partial 16S ribosomal RNA
Rfam family: Bacterial small subunit ribosomal RNA
Source: RNAcentral
GACGAACGCUGGCGGCGUGCCUAAUACAUGCAAGUAGAACGCUGAAGGAGGAGCUUGCUCUUCUGGAUGAGUUGCGAACGGGUGAGUAACGCGUAGGUAACCUGCCUGGUAGCGGGGGAUAACUAUUGGAAACGAUAGCUAAUACCGCAUAAGAGUAGAUGUUGCAUGACAUUUACUUAAAAGGUGCAAUUGCAUCACUACCAGAUGGACCUGCGUUGUAUUAGCUAGUUGGUGGGGUAACGGCUUACCAAGGCGACGAUACAUAGCCGACCUGAGAGGGUGAUCGGCCACACUGGGACCGAGACACGGCCCAGACUCCUACGGGAGGCAGCAGUAGGGAAUCUUCGGCAAUGGACGGAAGUCUGACCGAGCAACGCCGCGUGAGUGAAGAAGGUUUUCGGAUCGUAAAGCUCUGUUGUAAGAGAAGAACGAGUGUGAGAGUGGAAAGUCCACACUGUGACGGUAUCUUACCAGAAAGGGACGGCUAACUACGUG